This 848-nucleotide long non-coding RNA is filed under the name Arabidopsis lyrata. Its description in RNAcentral is "long non-coding RNA (ALYR_LNC003240)". The record is from RNAcentral. Lineage: Eukaryota; Viridiplantae; Streptophyta; Magnoliopsida; Brassicales; Brassicaceae.
GUAACCAGAAUGGGCAUGAGAAUUGAAGCCACUCUCUUUCUUCAACACGGGUAGCCAUUAUUUUCUACUCCGGGUUCUUCAAGGUCUAACUCUAAGACGCCAUGAUACUUCCAACGAGUACCAAUCAUGUUGUCUACUUCGUGGACUCCAUGGCUACUCCAAACUGCUACUGAACUUUUGUUGCGGUUUGAGCUCUCUUCUUGAGAUCUCUAGAUCGCUUCUUAGAACAUGUUAAACCAUGAUGGUUUUAACCAUUUUCGAGCCUUGAAACCUUGUACAUCAAUGAUUUUGAAGUCUUGUGCACAUUCAAUCUUGAGCUCCAUGACUUUGACACUUGAAUGCGUGAGCUUGAUUCAGCAUUCCCACCAGAUUUCUUCUCUAAUUUGAUCGUCCACCAAUGUCACUUCCUCUCUAACAACCACUUGAGUUCGCUGGCCAGAUUUCUUCUUCGUGUUGUGUUGUCUUGAGUUUUGACUUGGUUGGAUCGUCUAAAUGGACCUUAUGCCUUCAAAUAUAACCGGCUCUACUCUUCACUUUCUUAGUCCUUCAUGACUUGUUCUGAAUCCUUUCCUUGUCAACUUUUACUUCCUUGAGGCUCUCAUUGGUCUCUUUGAGGCUCUUAUGGUCUCCUUCACCCUUAAACAAGAGAUAAAGAAGAAGAGAUUAAGUUUUGCCAUAAGGAAUAUCAAAGAGAAACUUAACUCAACCAAAUGAGGAAUAUCAAAGCUAUUAAGCAACAAUUAGGAGUUCAUGAAUAUGAUUAAGCUGUGAAUUCUAAGGCAAUGGUUUAAUGAAAAAUAUCAUGAAAUGAGAGUAGAGUUUAGAAACAGCCUUUAUUUGAAGAAGAC